CAUCCGUGAAUUGACCUUCCCGUGAAGAGGCGGGAAUAGAACAAUAAGACGAGAAGACCCUAUGGAGCUUCAAUUAACUGACCCAAAGAGAUAAAAACCUAACCAACAGGUAUAACAAGUCCCCACAUGGGCCAGCAAUUUAGGUUGGGGUGACCUCGGAGAACAAAAUAACCUCCGAGUGAUUUUAAAUCUAGACCUACCAGUCAAAAGUAUUACAUCACUUAUUGAUCCAAAACACUUGAUCAACGGAACAAGUUACCCUAGGGAUAACAGCGCAAUCCUAUUCCAGAGUCCAUA
Molecule: ribosomal RNA, 297 nt
Filed under: Herpestes ichneumon (Egyptian mongoose)
Lineage: Eukaryota; Metazoa; Chordata; Mammalia; Carnivora; Herpestidae
Description: partial 16S ribosomal RNA
Rfam family: Bacterial large subunit ribosomal RNA
Source: RNAcentral